UUGAAAGGGAAACGAUUGAAGUCAGUCAUACCAACGGGAAAUCACCUUUUGAGCUUGGUCUUGUGGGUUUUGAAGAGUUUCAAAGCCUUCAGAUUCGCGGGAUUGGGAUCUCUUGGUGUACUUUUUCGUACGGUUAGUCAACAUCGGUUUUGAAUGUCAUAAAAUGACUGGAGGAAUGUAGCUUCGAUCUCGUAUUGAAGUGUUAUAGCCUUUGGUAGAUGUGAUGUUUGAGACCGAGGAUUGCAACGGAUACCCUUCAGGGCUAUUCGUCUGAUCUCUGAUACGUUGCCUUGAUGUUGAAAGCUUGCUUAUGAUGUUAGGGUAUUACGGUCAAAAGGUUAGAACGAAUUACAUUCGUUAAGGAUGUUGACGUA
This 374-nucleotide ribosomal RNA is filed under the name uncultured Glomeromycotina. RNAcentral's name for it is "eukaryotic LSU rRNA". Lineage: Eukaryota; Fungi; Glomeromycota. The record is from RNAcentral.